Hyla sarda is the source of this 1892-nucleotide long non-coding RNA. RefSeq lists it as uncharacterized. The transcript is spliced from 3 exons. NCBI's taxonomy places the organism in Eukaryota, Metazoa, Chordata, Amphibia, Anura, Hylidae. The record is from RefSeq and is a predicted model, not a curated record.
AAUGUAUUUAUUAUUAAACAAUUAUCGGUACUUCAGCCAGUUCAGACCUUCAUUUCACCAGGCAACCUGAAAUUAUCAUGACUUAUUCUGAGUGCAUAUUUGACAUAAUUUAGCUUAAUGGCGGCUUAAUAAGAUGUUUCUGUUAAAGCAAAAAAAGAAAAAAAAAAUCAGAUUUGUUUUAUUCUCCUUAUUUCUUUGGCCAUGCACAGACUCUGCUGCUUCCCCUGGGGGUAUUCCAGUUAUUUCCCCACGGGCAGAACUCCGACUUUACACACAAAAAAAGACCAUUUAACACAAAAAUGACUCCCAUCCACCCACACAAAGCCCUCGACAUUUCGUAUGGAGGGUACCCGGGCUACACAGAUUGGUAAUUGUACAGGAGUCAAAUGCCUUCAUAGUUAUAAUGUCAAGUAUACAGGAAUAGCAACAAGAUCCAGAUGGGGAAGGCGAUCUUCUUGACGGGUGUUCUGCUGAAAUUGAGAAAAUUGUGAUAAUGUCACUUUAAGGCCGGUUACAUUCGCAAAGUAAAUGCAUUUGCAGGGCAAUUUUCUAGGAACCGAGCGGCGCUGUUCCUUUAAAUGGAACUUGAUCUUUGGUUCUUUGAAGCCGGGAGGACGUAGACAGUCUUUCCUUGCAUUUCUGUUUGUCUGUUUGUGGCAAUGAGGGGCAUCUGGAAGAAACCGAGAGGCUGGCGGACGGCAUGUUUGUGUCAUGGCUGGAGGCCUGGUUGGGAAAGCUACAAUGUGACUACCACCAUAGAUAAAGGGGACGUUCACUGUAAACAAGGUUCCACCGCUUCAUUAAAGUGUUUAGAAGAAAGAUCAAAGUCUGAAGAAAGUUCUUUGUAACCGAGCACAUUUGUGAAGACUAAGACAUCUGCUUCUCUGUCCUAGACAACGUGACCUCUGUUCCGGCUUAGUGGAACAGAACUGAUACUGUAUGUAACGAAAAUGAGUAGAUUCUAGGAUGUUCCAAUAUAUGUUCUGUAUUAAUCCCUUUUCAAGAUCUCUGCUUUCUGUCAUUUGUUGGAGGCCUUCAUUGUUAUGUCUCAGUAGAUAAGAAUCGGUCCCGGUGUCCUUGGAGGUCACUCAGAUGUCCUUGGAGGUCAUUCAGAUGUCCUUGGAGGUCACUCAGAUGUCCUUGGAGGUCAAUCAGAUGUCCUUGGAGGUCAUUCAGAUGUCCUUGGAGGUCACUCAGAUGUCCUUGGAGGUCACUAAGAUGUCCUUGGAGGUCACUCAGAUGCUCGGCUUAUCACAACACACAUCGAUGAUAAGUGUCCCAUAGACCGUGCAGGUCAGGAGAGAUGACAGGUCCUCUUCAACACCUACAAAUCGCACAUGCAUGAAACGUCUAUUGAACUCUCCGGCAUUCUCUUUCAUUUGAAGACGAGAGAUUCGGCACUACACCACGUCGGCUUAAAUAACUUUAAAAAAAAAAAAAAAGCUUUCUUAUUAUUUCAGCUUUUUUUUCUCUUUAAUUUUCAAAAUCAUCUGUCUUGAAAUAAAUAGAUUGAACACCGUCUGCGAUGAAUUCCUGGCUUGUUAAUUAACCACUUUGCUGCUGCCAAGGCGAGGAAGCCAUGCAGAACCGACUCUCCAAGUAGUGAAAGAUUAAAACGACUUGUUAAAAGAUGUGUGAAGUAGAGGAAAGAGGAGAAAUUUCAAAGAGGCAGGAAAGAGUCUGGGAGUGAUAUGAAGAAGAAGAAGAAAAAAAAUCCUGAUUCCAAACAGAUUGUUUGAAUUAUAAAUCCUUCGCUUAAUCCAAGGGAUUAUUCAACAAAAACCUACCUUCACUCUACAAUAUUUACAAAGACUGUUGUGGAUUACUUACAUUGUGGGCAAGACCUGCUUCAAAUUUAUGGCUUUCAUUUUAUGUUAAAUAUUAAAAGGGUC